GAUGAAGAACGUAGCGAAAUGCGAUACUUGGUGUGAAUUGCAGAAUCCCGUGAACCAUCGAGUCUUUGAACGCAAGUUGCGCCUCAAGCCAUUAGGUUGAGGGCACGUCUGCCUGGGCGUCACAUAUCGUUGCCUGAUGCCAGUUUCCUCGUGAUGGGUGACUGUGCAGGGCGAAUGAUGGCUUCCCGUGAGCAUUGUUGCCUCAUGGUUGGUUGACAAUUGAGUCCUUGGUAGGGAGCGCCGUGAUAGAUGGUGGUUGAGUGACGAACGAGACCCAAUCAUGUGAGACCCCUACCGAAUUUGGCCUUCAUGACCCACAUGCGUCUUUGGAACGCUCAUGACGAGACCUCAGGUCAGGCGGGGCUACCCGCUGAGUUUAAGCAUAUCAAUAAUCGGAGGA
RNAcentral lists this unclassified non-coding RNA (400 nucleotides) under soil metagenome. Its description in RNAcentral is "partial contains 5.8S ribosomal RNA, internal transcribed spacer 2, and large subunit ribosomal RNA". The stretch from base 1 to 122 matches the Rfam family "5.8S ribosomal RNA", at positions 35 to 154 of the family's 154-position model. The record is from RNAcentral.